AAAGAAAGAGGGAGGAGAAUAGAGAUUAAAACCUUAAAAUGACUUUUACAUCCCAAAAAUAGAAAUUAAAUAAAUUAACCUACAACUAUUAUAAGGUUAUAAGCCAUUUAACUUCAUGCAAGAGGCCUUGAAUUCCAAAUUUUCAUUUUUGUCAACCAAAAAUCUUUUUGCACACCUUCCUUCUUUGCAAUUUUGCUUUUG
RNAcentral lists this unclassified non-coding RNA (201 nucleotides) under Hevea brasiliensis (rubber tree). The record is from RNAcentral. Lineage: Eukaryota; Viridiplantae; Streptophyta; Magnoliopsida; Malpighiales; Euphorbiaceae.